Molecule: ribosomal RNA, 209 nt
Filed under: Listeria monocytogenes
Lineage: Bacteria; Bacillati; Bacillota; Bacilli; Caryophanales; Listeriaceae
Description: partial 23S ribosomal RNA
Rfam family: Bacterial large subunit ribosomal RNA
Source: RNAcentral
CAUCCUGGGGCUGUAGUCGGUCCCAAGGGUUGGGCUGUUCGCCCAUUAAAGCGGCACGCGAGCUGGGUUCAGAACGUCGUGGGACAGUUCGGUCCCUAUCCGUCGCGGGCGCAGGAAAUUUGAGAGGGGCUGUCCUUAGUACGAGAGGACCGGGAUGGACACACCGCUGGUGUACCAGUUGUUCCGCCAGGAGCAUCGCUGGGUAGCUA